Long non-coding RNA from Ctenopharyngodon idella (grass carp), 1944 nucleotides. RefSeq lists it as uncharacterized. Lineage: Eukaryota; Metazoa; Chordata; Actinopteri; Cypriniformes; Xenocyprididae. The record is from RefSeq and is a predicted model, not a curated record. The transcript is spliced from 6 exons.
ACACAAUACAAAUAUUAAAGCCAAAAAAUAUAUACAUAAUGCAGUAGGCUUCAAUUAACAAAAUCAAUUGGGAACAAACAUAUGUUUACAUUGCUAAGAGUGGUUGCUAAGACAGACGCAGCAACAUACACACUCAGUGGCGCAGCGUUACUUAUGUAAUGCGGUCAGCUGUAUGUUUUCGGGAAUUUUACAACGGCUUUGAACGCGACUCAACCAAUCAGAAUCAAGGGCCGGUAUUAUAAACUAUAUUAAGGCAAUUCUAACAUGGCUUUCUAUGCGUUUGUCGUGUGUACUAAAGUCUGUCAAUCAUCAUUAGCGCGCCACCCUGCAAGGACAUUAUAAUUCUGCCAAAAGUGUGUCUGUGUGUUCGAUUACAAUAUAAAGCUUGGUUAUCAAACUAGCACUAAGACCCAGAAUCUGCCCUACCUAAAUUUAUUACUAGGAGCUGCUACUGAUAAACACAGUCAUUAUGUUAAGACUGAGUCGAGGUAAGGUAUCAGUCUUACUUUAUGGAUUGGAAUUAGCCCAGUCUACUUGUUUAAGCAACUUGCUUUAAAAACAACUGUAACCAGUGUCAAAGGGAAAAAAGACUUGUAAGACUAGUCUAAGCAGUUUAUGCAACUGGCCAGGACAUAUUUUCGUGUGAGUUAAAUUCAGUCCCAUGUGAGCUCAUUAACAGGUUGAUCAGAUUUAUUGAUUCAGCAUGGAAGGUGCAAACCUGUUUCCUUGUUGUUACGCACAUGCCUAGUAAAUUGCUGAUCGUAUUACGUAGCUUCAUAUGCUGUAAAAUAAAACUAAUCUGCAGUGCUUAUUGCUGACAUAAUACAAAAACCACGAAUUAAGAAUUCAUUCCCACACUCAAAAAAUGAUUCUUGCCACUAAUUGAAAUUAAGCAAACAAUUCAAAUAAAAUGUAUUUAAAAACGUAUAAAAUAACUAUUAUUAUUCCAAAUUACUUUUAUACAACAUGAAUGAAAUGGAUUCAAGACCAACCUGAUCAAAUUACAUAAACUAUACUUAAUUCAUUGCCAUAAGGCACAAAUGCAAGUGUUGCGCAUGCUCAUUGGAGUCUGGAGUCAAAUAACAACAACUGAAGGCGGCAAUCUGGCAACGGUGAUCUACUGUCUGACUCAGCGAAAAGGAGGAUUUGGAUGCAUAGAUGUGGAUGUUUUCAAGAAACCUCAUAAUUUUGGGACAAUAACUCAAUUACGAUUUGUGGCAACGUAAAGUGUGUGGAAGAAGUAUCGCUGAAGUAUCCGGUAUGUUUAAGUAAUUGAAACAUUCUUAAACAUUGACAUUUUGAGGAGAGAUUCAGGCAACCUGUUCACAGUAAAUGAAGUAAAAGCAGAAUUUAUGUGGAUAAAGACUGUGCCACUUCUGUCACCGUUCAUAGCAGCUGGACAGAUGCAAGUGCGAAGACAUACACAUCAAACGAGACUGUGUCAUAAAGAGUCUGUGUGUGUAUCUCAAUGGGGACAUUACAACACUUGUCAAAAAAUUCCAGGACUGCAAUCCUGAAGGAGACCACUCUGGGCCUUUUUGUGACCCUUAAAGUGCUGAGUACUAGCCAGACGAUGUUGGAGUAGCAACAGAGGGUGUAAAACUGCUACAACACUUAAGAGUUUUUCCUUUGGAUUAAUAAUGCUGUUCAGAUUGAUCUACUCACUCAAGUUACACUCAGAGUCUCAAAUUCACAUUUGAAUUCUUCCAGAAGGUAAUGAUGAAUUUGGACUUUAGGACAUCACACAGAUGUUUCCAUCCCCUGGAAGGACAUUGAAAACUUUUAAACUUGUUCCGUAAUGUUGAUUUGAAGACAGUACGAUAGAUGACACUAUGAACAGAUGACACUAACUCAAAUCAAGAGACUGCACCUAAUGCACCUUCUGGCUUCCUCUCUGAUACAUUAAAUUUUUUGUUCACCAAAACAUGAACAUUCUGUCAUUUA